RNAcentral lists this ribosomal RNA (254 nucleotides) under uncultured bacterium. RNAcentral's name for it is "partial 16S ribosomal RNA". It matches the Rfam family "Bacterial small subunit ribosomal RNA", at positions 524 to 776 of the family's 1533-position model. The record is from RNAcentral.
UACGGGGGGAGCAAGCGUUGUUCGGAUUUACUGGGCGUAAAGGGCGCGUAGGCGGCCACCGCAAGUCAGUUGUGAAAUCUCUGGGCUUAACCCAGAAAGGUCAACUGAUACUGCGGGGCUAGAGUGCAGAAGGGGCAACUGGAAUUCUCGGUGUAGCGGUGAAAUGCGUAGAUAUCGAGAGGAACACCUGCGGCGAAGGCGGGUUGCUGGGCUGACACUGACGCUGAGGCGUGAAAGCUAGGGGAGCGAACGGG